Grus americana (Whooping crane) is the source of this 4219-nucleotide long non-coding RNA. RefSeq lists it as uncharacterized. NCBI's taxonomy places the organism in Eukaryota, Metazoa, Chordata, Aves, Gruiformes, Gruidae. The transcript is spliced from 3 exons. The record is from RefSeq and is a predicted model, not a curated record.
GGAAAGGCGAGCCUCCGCAGCAGCUUCCGCAGGGCGCGGGCGCGGCAGCUCCCCCUGUGGGAGCGGCGGAGGCGGUUGUACCGCGGGGGGCAGUUCCUCGCCAGGCUCGGACAGAGCCAAUGCCAGCCGGCUCCAAGACGGGACCCGCCCCUGGCCAAGGCCAAACCAAUCAGUGCCUCUGUGAUAACAUAUUUAAGAAGGAAAAAAGAGAGAACUUUUGCAGCUAGAGGAGUGAGAAGGUGUAAGAAACUCUGCAGACACCAAGAUCAGUGCAGAUGGAGGGGGAGGAGGUGCUCCAGGCGCCGGAGCAGAGAUCCCCCUGCAGCCCGUGGUGAAGACCAUGGUGAAGCAGGCUGUCCCCCUGCAGCCCAUGGAGGAAGGAUGAGGGGGUGUAGAGAUUCCACCUGCAGCCCGUGGAGGACCCCACGCCGGAGCAGGUGGAGGCACCUGAAGGAGGCUGUGGCCCAUGGGAAGCCCACGCUGGAGCAAGCUCCUGGCAGGGCCUGUGGAGCCGUGGAGAGAGGAGCCCACAUCAGAGCAGGUUUGCUGGCAGGACUUGUGACCCCGUGGGGGACCCACGCUGGAGCAGUCUGCUCCUGGAGGUCUGCACCCCAUGGAAGAGACCAUGCUGGAGCAGUUCGUGAAGGACUGUAGCCCGUGGGAGAGACUCCAUGCUGGAGCAGGGGAAGGAUGAGAGGAGUCCUCCCCCUGAGGAGGAAGAAGCGGCAGUAACAACGGGUGAUGAACUGACCGUAACCCCCAUUCCCCGUCCCCCUGUGCCGCUGAGGGGGGGAAGGUUUGAAGCCGGGAGUGAAGUUGAGCCUGGGAAGAUGGGAGGGGUGGGAGGAGGUGUUUUAAGAUUUGAUUUUAUUUCUCAUUCCUCUACUCUGUUUUUGCCUAGUAAUAAAUUAGAUUAAUUCCCUCUCUAAGUUCGGUCUGUUUUGCUCGUGAUGAUAAUUAGUGAGUGAUCUCUCCCUGCCCUUAUCUCGACCCACAAGCUUUUCUUUAUACCUUUUCUCCCCUGUCUAGUGAAGAAGGGGAGUGAUAGAGCGGCUCUGGUGGGCACCUGGCCCCCAGCCAGGGUCAACCCACCACAAUUAUAUAUUGUUUUCCUUCACUUUCUCUUUUAACCCAAUUAGUCUUUUAAUUAAAACUGCCCACUUUCAAAAUUGUGGAGUUAUCUAAUAAACUGUUUUUUACCAAUCUCCUUUUCAUUCUUUUUACUAUUUUUGGCAAUGUUUUUCUUCAUGUGCAUUUUUGCUCUUCUUCAUUUAGAAGAAAUUAGUGUUAAGUAUCAUAUAACAGAUGUCUGUUAUAUGUCCAAUUUAAACAAGUAUUUGGUUCACGAUCAGCUUGUCACAAUGAGGUCUGAAAUGUAGGAAGAAGAACUUCUGUUACAUUCUUACAGGGAUGAAUAAGUUCCUAGUACUUUGCCUCAUUUUUCUAAAGAAUGUUUUGAUACAGUCUCUCUGACAUGUAUGCAUUUGCUUUCUGUAGCUAUCUUUACAUGUAACUUGAGAGCCCCAAUGGCAUCAUUCUAUCGUGUCAGUAUAAUAAAACUAUCCUCUUUAUAUUGACAAAGCUUCUGUUGUCUGACUAAAGACUGAGGAAUUUGACAUGGGCCUCUUGGAGCGAGUCCAGAGGAGGGCCAUGAAGAUAAUCCGAGGGCUGGAGCACCUCUCCGAUGAAGACAGGCUGAGAGAGUUGGGGUUGUUCAGCCCAGAGAAGAGAAGGCUCCAGGGAAACCUCAUAGCAGCCUUCAGGUAGCUGUGGAGCUUCCUUGCACAGGAAAGGUCCUUCAAGAGAAAUUGUUCCUGGUGUGUGGGGACAAGUGCACAGUUUUCCAGUUCAAGAAGCCUUUGUGCCAGUACAGAGCUUGCCCAUGUUGCACUGUCACGAGGGGAGAAGGAGAUGGGUGCUCAGAGUGGGGAUAUUGCUAACUUGCCUCCAAAGAAUGAGGACUCCUCUGCUAUUCCAGCAGCCUGUUGCUGUGCCCUAGCAUCAUGUCAUGACUAUCAGCAUAACUGAGCAGGAUUUAGGCUCCAUGCUUUUGUGUCACUUGCUCUCAGUCUUCCACGGGGAGUCCUGUAGACAGUGUGCAUGCAGGGCUGUAUCCCAGGCAGCUGCUGGGCCAUUUGAAGCGAGGUCAGGAUGCAAAAGCAGACUCUGGCAGCAGAGGUGAUUGAGGAGACCUGUUGUUUUUAAAGCCAGACUUCCCUUUUUCCUUCCUGGCUUGUCUGGUGCAGUAGAAGCAUGUGGGAUGGGGUAGUCUGCAUUUUCUUGUCCCAGGUGUGCAGCUGCUUCCUUUGCAGUUUCUCCAAAGCUUCCCUGCUGCAAACACGGGCGGAUCAAGGCUGUGGGAGUGAUCUGGGCUAGCACUAAGAGUGCAGUUGUGAACUAGAACUGGGGGCUGUGUGUGUGGAGAUGUUUGUGCAUAUGUCUGUGCGUUUGUUUCUUUUAAGACCGGGUCAGUAACUUGUCACAUUUGACCACUAUGAUUUUGAUCUGAUAUUGGGAGCCAAAAGGCAACUUUUGCUCUUGGCAAUCCAUAGCCUAACAUGCAACCAUAUACAAAAGAGUAUAAUCAAAUAUACGAGGGAUGGGAGUAUUUUAUACACACCCACGCAUAUUUUUCGAUACAUAUAUGUAAAAUACAUAUAGUUAAUUGAGACAGCUCCAUCUGGAUUCCUACAGGGCAUUCUGACCCUGUAGACACAGAACAUGUAGCUAAGCCGGGUAAUUAGGGAAGACAGCAAAAAUGAAUAGGAAUCUAAACCUUAUUACAGACAUAGAGGAUAAGAGUUAAACUUAUCUGGGAUAAGUGGGGCCAAAAGGGAAAGGUCAUGAUUGGCUGUACAUGAUUAAAGUACAAAAAUAAUAUUAAGAAAAAAACUAUUAGUAAGGAUGAGAUGGAUCAUCAAAAUGAAGGAUGCUCAGAUGUAGAGAAGCAAUAAACGAAUGUUACUCCAGCUGUCUGAGAGUUUCAUGUGUGCUACAGAGAGAAUAAGUGAUGGCUUGGAAUUCUUAGUGCUAAAUGGGACCUAGAGCAGAUCCUACUCCCAUCUUCAGGCUUUGUUUUCCCAGAAAUGAGGAUACAUGUGAACAAUUAUUCAGUACAAGAUUGUUUGAAUACGCUAUUAUUUUCCAAUCUGUUUUGGACUGCAAGACCAUAAUACUUUGGAAGGGCAGGUGUGAUAACUGUACAUACUAUCCUGUUUGGAGGAGGAUUUGAAGAGAUUGGAGAUUGCUUAUGUUUCAGUGGUAGCCUGUGGCUAGGUUAUCUUUAAGUGACUAUAGAAUCAUAGCUUCAGAGUCUUCAGGUGUUCUAGACGUAUUUUUUUCAGCACCAUUCACAGAAAUAAUCUUUUUCAUAAGGGAAGUGGCCAAUAAAUACCUGCAAAAGAACAGAUAACAGUAGUUUAAAUAAAGGACUGAAUUUUUGAGCUGUUGUUUCCCCUGGGAAGCCUGGUGAUUAGGCAUUAAGGCCUAAUUUUUUUUUUUACGGAAUCGAUCACUCAAAUUUUGAAACUAGAGAAAAAUUGGUACCUCUGCAAUGCUCUUUGUAAGGCUAUCUGACUAGUGCCUGUUCAACAUUAAAAAAAAAAAAAAAGACGACAAGAAACAGGAGAGGCAAUAAAUUACACACAUAGAUACACAAACCCUAACAAACAACAGUCAGCAGAGACAGUAACAAAGACCAGAAAUCUUAAAUCAGGGCAGCUAUUACAGGAACCACUGAAAUAUAACCUUGAAAAGGUUUAGCCAGAUUCUUUGAUGAUGUGUAAGAAUCAUAUUUUAUGUUUCUUAUCAGAAUGGGUCUUAUAGGAAAGAGUAAGCUUAUGAGAUUUUUUUUUUGAGGGAGGAUUGUGGGACUGUGCAAAAAAUACUACAGGAUUUUUAGGGGGAACAAAACCAGUUCUGCACUGCACAAUCUACAUAUAAACAUUAUUUUAAAUGGCUUCUCAUUGUAUAACUGCAAAGUGGCCACAUGAGAAGUAAUGCAAAUAAAUGUUAAUAAUUAGAACUAUAACUGUUUCUUAUAAACCCUUUUGUUUUGUAAUUUAUGUCUGGCAUUCACCUAUGUAGUUACUUCUGUAACCGUUGAACUGUACAUGUAACCAUUAUAAUCAACAAAAGCAGCUUUCACUUAGUCUCCCUUUCAUACAGACCCUUUAAAAAUUUUAUGUAAAUAUACCUUUUCAUGGACUCACAGAAUCAU